UUGUUUAGUCUUUAAUCCUUGUUAUCGGAUUUAGGAUUCAACAAAUGGCGCCCACCGUGGGGCUGAAAGGUUUCUAACGCACGAAGUCAGCAAAACUCCCGAACGUUAAAGCUAUGUCAUCUACGUCAGGACCCCCGCCCUCGAAAUCCGGCGAGCGACAGCCCUCAAGCACAGCAACCGGCGGAUCAGCUGAGGUCGGGAAAAGUAGCCAAACGAACCCCGGAAACACGCGCCCACCAACCAACGCCACUAUCGACGCCAUGCUUUCAGUCGCAAAGAACGCAUCCGUGACGACACCUUGUACCACACGAACGAGUCAUCCCGCUGAGCAGGCGCAAGACUCAGCGCCCCA
Molecule: long non-coding RNA, 352 nt
Filed under: Brassica napus (rape)
Lineage: Eukaryota; Viridiplantae; Streptophyta; Magnoliopsida; Brassicales; Brassicaceae
Description: long non-coding RNA (BNAP_LNC014454)
Source: RNAcentral